This is a long non-coding RNA of Choloepus didactylus (southern two-toed sloth), 499 nucleotides long. RefSeq lists it as uncharacterized. The record is from RefSeq and is a predicted model, not a curated record. The transcript has 3 exons. Lineage: Eukaryota; Metazoa; Chordata; Mammalia; Pilosa; Megalonychidae.
ACGAGGCUCAGCUUUGUCCUUAGAAGACCCGCGGCAGCAGUUCCGCCCCAGCUCCAGGCCCGCUGAGGGAGCUGCGCUCGGUUUUCUGUCUCCAGCAUCAAUGUUUCAGUACAAGUGAAAAUGUCGCCUGCAACGUAACCUGGACCAAAGAACCCUGGAGAGAGCAAAUGAAAAGAAACUCCCAAAGCUUAGCUCGGAGUUUUCUCUUGGGCUCCCGUGGAAUUCUCCAUUUUCAGUCGCAGCCUGAGGCCUCAUGGAGAAGGCCACGCAGGAAGGAGCCACAAGUCAGAGGAAACUGGAAGAGUGGACACAAGGAGAGAGAUCACCAUGUGACGGGACUGAGAUGCCGGCCAAGUAACCUUAAGGACUGCAGCGAGCCAGCACAGGAACGUCGCUAACUCUGGGGAGAAAGCACGGCCCUACCAACACCUUCAUUUGGGUCUUCUAGCCUCCAAAACCAUGAGCCAAUAAAUGCUGGUUGUUCAAGUCAACUGAUUUU